AUAAAAUAAAAUGGUAAUAAAUAAUGCUCAUCGACCAACACAUGAUACUUUUCACAUCGUCACAAUUUAUUCAGAUGUAUUGCUCAGUGUUUAUGCACUGAUCUAAUUGCUUUCAGAAUUAUUAAGAUCCCUAAAACCUGAGAAUUUACAAAUAUGGAAAAGCAAGAAACGAAACAAAAAUAGAGAGGCUGGUAACACACAAAUAGAGAUGUGUUUAUAUUAGAAAAAUUGAGGAAGAAGCCCGUUAAAAUGGGAAGAGAGCAUAAAGGGCACAAAAAUAAAUAUGCAUGCCGAAUAAAUGGGACAUUUAUUCAGAGCUCAGAACAAUAGCUGCAGAUAGCUUUCAGAAUGCAGGGUGUUUGGUGGAAGAGGAGAAGCGACGCAGGGAGUGUGCGUCAGUAGACAUUGAAGAGUCAAAACUGGAAAGCAUCCUGAAAAAUAGCUUAAACUGAAAUGAACCCACAGCCCACCGGAGUUAUUUCUGUUGUCAUGUUAUUUCAUCACUGCGGCUUAUUUGCACUGCACCAUCACCCUGACAGCUCCUCUGCCCCAUUAUUUACUGGCUGCCUCUUUCACUUUUAUAUAUAAAAGACCACCAUACCUUCCUUCAUUUUAGAAGUAGAAUUAAAGAGAUUGGUUUCAGCAAAGGUUGUGAAUUUCAUAUUUUAAAUGUACUUAAAUUAUUCCUAAAGUGAAAAUGAGCUAUAGAGUAUUCACAAUAAUCUCUGCUACAAAUAUACUAACUGAACGGUAACUGUAUAACACACAUGCUGGCUCAGAAAGAGUUUUUCUAAAAGUGUCCCUGAGUUACUAACCAAGUAGCCUAAUAUAUAAGUAGUAUAUGUGAGUAAAUUUGCAUUUUUAAUUGUUGGGACAGUAAAAACCCAUUCACUGUCGUAACAGACAUAGGAUUUUUUUGUUGUUGUUGUUGUUGUUUUGUCACGGAAGCAUAUCUAUUACAAAUGUGAAAUUGAGGAAAUGCAGCUUGUUUUAUAUUACAUUGGUGUUUUGUAAGAACAAUCUCAUGUUGUUGACAGUCUGCCGUUAGCUCUCUUGCUAAUCAUUAGCUUGAACUGCUAUAUUUAGAGAGCACAUGCUGCAGCAUUACUAUCAUUCAACACGUCGCAUUUAAUGCUUAACACUAUUAAAAAUCGAUGGAAAUUAUUUCACCUAACGUACCCUACUAACUUACAUCGAUAUAGCGUAAAUUACUCCUGCAUCUGUUUUCACUAACUUAACGU
Molecule: long non-coding RNA, 1241 nt
Organism: Cyprinus carpio carpio
Lineage: Eukaryota; Metazoa; Chordata; Actinopteri; Cypriniformes; Cyprinidae
Source: Ensembl